CACCAUGUUUCCAAGAGCUUUGGCUGGGGUAUGGUCAUGGGCUCUCCAACUACAUCACCGAGUAACGUGGAGACACUCUGACAGCUCAGGUCAGCACAGUGCCUGCAGCUGCUACUCAUCUUAGAGAG
RNAcentral lists this small nucleolar RNA (128 nucleotides) under Peromyscus maniculatus bairdii (prairie deer mouse). Its description in RNAcentral is "Small nucleolar RNA SNORA44 (ENSPEMG00000005683.2)". It matches the Rfam family "Small nucleolar RNA SNORA44". Rfam says of the family: ACA44 is a member of the H/ACA class of snoRNA that guide the sites of modification of uridines to pseudouridines. The record is from Rfam by way of RNAcentral. Lineage: Eukaryota; Metazoa; Chordata; Mammalia; Rodentia; Cricetidae.